GGAAAGUGGAUUUUUGGCUUCUUGAUACAAUUCCUUUGAUAAGAGAAUACCCAAGAACAGAUGGAGAUCUUUGCUAGGCUAAAUAGCACUUUCCUCUGAGCCUGGAUCUAGAUUGGGUUGUUCUCCAGCAAUUAUAGUAACGGCAGGAUACUAGGCUUUGACUUUCUUUGGGAUGUACAUAAGUGGGCUAAUCCAUCGAACUUGACCACUUUUAACACCUGUGGAUAGGUUCUGUUUCUAAGCUCAGACAUGAGACGUACAGAGAUAAAAACUAUAUCUGAGUUGGAAGGAUAAGAGUCCUCCUUGUAGACAGUGCCACUUUAUUGGGUUAGUCUUUCUUUCUAUCUUGAAUUCAUGACUGACCCAGACCUUGUAGAUUAUUCUCUCUCUCUCUCUUGUCUGUGUGUGUGUGUGUGUGUGUGUGUGUUCAUGUGUGCACACACACAAAGAGACCCUAGGUAGCAAGCAGACUUUAUGCCUUUCUGCUUUGUACCGUACUAUUGCUGCUAGCUAAAAACCAGCAAAAUGUAGAAAGUGAAAACUGAAGAAACUACUUUGCAGUGGAUAAUUUUAAGAAAAAAAAAAGAUGCUUGCUCCUCAUUUAGGGGAGCAGAGAACUAUUCCAAUAGCAUGCCUUUUCUGAAGGCCACGUGCUUCGAGUUCCGUGCUGCCUCAGUAGCGGGAUUGAGUUGUGAUGGCGCACGUGGCACUGCCACCUCUGCCUGUGGAGCUGCCCUGGGUUCAGAUAAUCCCCUGUGAGUAGCCACAGAAGCCUCAGAACUCCUAUGGCUGGGUCACUGCACCCCUGUCAACAAGUUGUGUCCUGUUGAUAGACUGCGACCCCCUGGAGCCUGCAUUCCCUGUGCCAACUCCAUUUUCAGCAUGUGAAUUUUAGCCAUAGAUUCAUCCCUGAGUUCCCAGCUUGUGGACUGUGUGUCCGUUUCAACUCCUCAAGGUAGAAAUGGGCAGGCUGCAAGCCCAUUCUUGGGUCUAGGGAAUGAGGUUUAGAUUCUGGAUAGAAGACAGCUCUGAAAAGCAUAUGCUUGGCUUUCUGGCAUUUCUAAUGUUCAGCGGGCAGGAAUGCAAAGGAGCCAUGCACAGUGUACACAUUCAAUUCCUUUUAGAACGAUAGGUCCCAUUCAGUCUACUGCUUUACUACUUAAUAGUCUGGAUUGUGCACAUCCAGUGAUGAAAUGAAGAACUUUUCACUUACAAGUGGGUGUUUCCAAACAUGUUAAAAUAACCUCCAGAGAGAAGUGCCUGGAACCACUGUUCCUGGUGUCACUUUAAAGCUUUUUGCUUCAUGACUCUAGCAUUUAAAACCUGUUUGCAGCCACAAAUGUGAUUAACAGAAGUUUACAAAGCAACACUGUACCUUAUGCAUUAUCUUAAAAUCUGUGGACAUUCAUCUAUUGUUCAAGCAAUGAUGACAACCAGUGAGAUAAAAAGAGAGUAGAUAGUUCAGCAUGGCACCAUUGGCUGUUGUUAGACUAGUUUCAUUGGUGUAUGCUGUCCUUUGUAAUGUCAGGACUAAAAUAUCUAGCAAGCCACAUAAACGGUGGCAAGUGUGUAUAUUGUUUGGUUUCCAUUUGUUUGUUAAACAGCCAUUUUACUUUUCCAUGGUCAUGAGUUGAAGGGAAAUUAAGAUAACGCUCCCUCCCCACCAACACUAUUCAACUACCUCUCUAUGCCUGAUUUCUUUAAAAGGGUUCCCUUCUUCUAAAUCUGCACAAAAAUAGUUCCAGCUCAUCUACGUUGUAAUCGCGAUGUGAUAUAGAUGGUCUCUGUGAAAAAAAAAUUGUUCAUUAAACAGAAAUUUCCUGUU
This 1825-nucleotide long non-coding RNA is filed under the name Mus musculus (house mouse). RNAcentral describes it as "long non-coding RNA chrX:36365031-36366856". Lineage: Eukaryota; Metazoa; Chordata; Mammalia; Rodentia; Muridae. The record is from RNAcentral.